RNAcentral lists this transfer RNA (77 nucleotides) under Chromatiales bacterium. RNAcentral describes it as "tRNA-Met". It matches the Rfam family "tRNA". Rfam says of the family: Transfer RNA (tRNA) molecules are approximately 80 nucleotides in length. Their secondary structure includes four short double-helical elements and three loops (D, anti-codon, and T loops). The record is from RNAcentral. Lineage: Bacteria; Pseudomonadati; Pseudomonadota; Gammaproteobacteria; Chromatiales.
GGCUAUGUAGCUCAGCUGGUUAGAGCGCAGCACUCAUAAUGCUGAUGUCGGUGGUUCGAAUCCACCCAUAGCCACCA